UACUGGUUCUCCUAAAGACUCAAGUGCA
RNAcentral lists this small RNA (28 nucleotides) under Bombyx mori (domestic silkworm). RNAcentral describes it as "ovarian small RNA-21543". Lineage: Eukaryota; Metazoa; Arthropoda; Insecta; Lepidoptera; Bombycidae. The record is from RNAcentral.